RNAcentral lists this ribosomal RNA (496 nucleotides) under uncultured bacterium. Its description in RNAcentral is "partial 16S ribosomal RNA". It matches the Rfam family "Bacterial small subunit ribosomal RNA", at positions 29 to 507 of the family's 1533-position model. The record is from RNAcentral.
AUGAACGCUGGCGGCGUGCCUAAUACCUGCAAGUCGCGCGAACAGACGAGGAGCUUGCUCCUCUGACGUUAGCGGCGGACGGGUGAGUAACACGUGGAUAACCUACCUAUAAGACUGGGAUAACUUCGGGAAACCGGAGCUAAUACCGGAUAACAUGUUGAACCGCAUGGUUCAACAGUGAAAGACGGUCUUGCUGUCACUUAUAGAUGGAUCCGCGCCGCAUUAGCUAGUUGGUAAGGUAACGGCUUACCAAGGCAACGAUGCGUAGCCGACCUGAGAGGGUGAUCGGCCACACUGGAACUGAGACACGGUCCAGACUCCUACGGGAGGCAGCAGUAGGGAAUCUUCCGCAAUGGGCGAAAGCCUGACGGAGCAACGCCGCGUGAGUGAAGAAGGUCUUCGGAUCGUAAAACUCUGUUAUUAGGGAAGAACAAAUGUGUAAGUAACUAUGCACGUCUUGACGGUACCUAAUCAGAAAGCCACGGCUAACUACGUG